CAGGGUAUAGCUCAGUGGUAGAGUACAUGACUAACAUGCAGGAGGUCCUGGGUUCAAUCCCCGGUAUCUAAA
RNAcentral lists this transfer RNA (72 nucleotides) under Camelus ferus (Wild Bactrian camel). It matches the Rfam family "tRNA". Rfam says of the family: Transfer RNA (tRNA) molecules are approximately 80 nucleotides in length. Their secondary structure includes four short double-helical elements and three loops (D, anti-codon, and T loops). Lineage: Eukaryota; Metazoa; Chordata; Mammalia; Artiodactyla; Camelidae. The record is from Rfam by way of RNAcentral.